GCCGCCAUAGCUCAGCGGUAGAGCAACGGUUUUGUAAACCGUAGGUCGUGGGUUCGAUUCCCACCGGCGGCU
RNAcentral lists this transfer RNA (72 nucleotides) under Pseudomonadota bacterium. Its description in RNAcentral is "tRNA-Thr". It matches the Rfam family "tRNA". Rfam says of the family: Transfer RNA (tRNA) molecules are approximately 80 nucleotides in length. Their secondary structure includes four short double-helical elements and three loops (D, anti-codon, and T loops). Further hydrogen bonds mediate the characteristic L-shaped molecular structure. tRNAs have two regions of fundamental functional importance: the anti-codon, which is responsible for specific mRNA codon recognition, and the 3' end, to which the tRNAs corresponding amino acid is attached (by aminoacyl-tRNA synthetases). tRNAs cope with the degeneracy of the genetic code in two manners: having more than one tRNA (with a specific anti-codon) for a particular amino acid; and 'wobble' base-pairing, i.e. permitting non-standard base-pairing at the 3rd anti-codon position. Lineage: Bacteria; Pseudomonadati; Pseudomonadota. The record is from RNAcentral. RNAcentral also lists the same sequence under 2 other names.